Small nuclear RNA from Artibeus jamaicensis (Jamaican fruit-eating bat), 104 nucleotides. The record is from RefSeq and is a predicted model, not a curated record. Lineage: Eukaryota; Metazoa; Chordata; Mammalia; Chiroptera; Phyllostomidae.
GUGCUCACUUCGGCAGGACAUACCCUAAAAUUGGAACAAUACAGAGAUUAGCAUGGCCCCUGCUCAAGGAUGAUAUGCAAGUUUGUGAAGCGUUCCACAUAUAC